Molecule: transfer RNA, 74 nt
Organism: Methanoregula formicica SMSP
Lineage: Archaea; Methanobacteriati; Methanobacteriota; Methanomicrobia; Methanomicrobiales; Methanoregulaceae
Rfam family: tRNA
About the family: Transfer RNA (tRNA) molecules are approximately 80 nucleotides in length. Their secondary structure includes four short double-helical elements and three loops (D, anti-codon, and T loops). Further hydrogen bonds mediate the characteristic L-shaped molecular structure. tRNAs have two regions of fundamental functional importance: the anti-codon, which is responsible for specific mRNA codon recognition, and the 3' end, to which the tRNAs corresponding amino acid is attached (by aminoacyl-tRNA synthetases). tRNAs cope with the degeneracy of the genetic code in two manners: having more than one tRNA (with a specific anti-codon) for a particular amino acid; and 'wobble' base-pairing, i.e. permitting non-standard base-pairing at the 3rd anti-codon position.
Source: Rfam
GGGUCUGUAGCUUAGUUCGGCAUAGCGGCGGACUCUUAAUCCGCAGGUCAAGGGUUCAAAUCCCUUCAGGCCCG